This 73-nucleotide transfer RNA is filed under the name Strongylocentrotus purpuratus (purple sea urchin). It matches the Rfam family "tRNA". Rfam says of the family: Transfer RNA (tRNA) molecules are approximately 80 nucleotides in length. Their secondary structure includes four short double-helical elements and three loops (D, anti-codon, and T loops). Further hydrogen bonds mediate the characteristic L-shaped molecular structure. tRNAs have two regions of fundamental functional importance: the anti-codon, which is responsible for specific mRNA codon recognition, and the 3' end, to which the tRNAs corresponding amino acid is attached (by aminoacyl-tRNA synthetases). tRNAs cope with the degeneracy of the genetic code in two manners: having more than one tRNA (with a specific anti-codon) for a particular amino acid; and 'wobble' base-pairing, i.e. permitting non-standard base-pairing at the 3rd anti-codon position. Lineage: Eukaryota; Metazoa; Echinodermata; Echinoidea; Camarodonta; Strongylocentrotidae. The record is from Rfam by way of RNAcentral.
CCGUCGAUAGCUCAGUUGGUAGAGCGGAGGGCGGAAGAGGUUCAAAGCGAUGGUACGAAUCCGGCUCGACGGA